Molecule: ribosomal RNA, 482 nt
Filed under: uncultured bacterium
Lineage: Bacteria
Description: partial 16S ribosomal RNA
Rfam family: Bacterial small subunit ribosomal RNA
Source: RNAcentral
AAUGAACGUUGGCGGCGUGGAUUAGGCAUGCGAGUCGAGCGAGAACCGUAGCAAUACGGGGACAACGGCGAAAGGGAGAGGAAUACGUGGGUACCUACCCUCAGACUCAGGAUAGCCGUGGGAAACUAUGGGUAAUACUGAAUAAUGUCUUCGGACCACAGGUGUGAUUCCGUUCGAGGAGGGGCACGCGUCCUAUUAGCUAGUUGGUGAGGUAACGGCUCACCAAGGCGAAGAUGGGUACGGGAUGGGAGAGCAUGAUCCCGCUCAUUGGGACUGAGACACUGCCCAGACACCUACGGGUGGCUGCAGUCGAGAAUCUUCGGCAAUGGGGGAAACCCUGACCGAGCGACGCCGCGUGCGAGAUGAAGGCCUUCGGGUUGUAAAUCGCUGUCAGUGGGGAGGAAGUGCAGGUGGGUUCUCCCAUCUGUUUGACCUAUCCGCAGAGGAAGGACGGGCUAAGUUCGUGCCAGCCGCCGCGGUAA